RNAcentral lists this long non-coding RNA (38214 nucleotides) under Sorghum bicolor (sorghum). RNAcentral's name for it is "long non-coding RNA (SBIC_LNC000938)". The stretch from base 2580 to 2686 matches the Rfam family "Plant small nucleolar RNA R71". Lineage: Eukaryota; Viridiplantae; Streptophyta; Magnoliopsida; Poales; Poaceae. The record is from RNAcentral.
GGGGAUAAAUGGGGGUGCUCUCCCCCAAGCUGGAUUUUGACGUAAUUUCUUCUGAUGUAGCUAGCAGGUGCUGGAGGUGUAUUUGAAAGUCGGCAGCACCCUGAGAGCAAUUAGAAUGUCCUCCGUCUGCUAGUCUUCUUGAUCCUUGAAUUCUGUGGAGCUCCAAUAGACAACAAAGCUUUGUGGAACUGAUUAGAUGUUAGCAUAAUAUUUAGCCUUUAUCAUAUUGAGCCACCUCAAUAAAUGCUACUUUCUUUGGUAGGAUCACAAUUUUAUUUUUGUAUUUUCAUUUUUAUAGAGUAGAAGAAUAUUUUUAUUUUAUUAUUUUUUUUAUGCCACCACAGUGAAUGUACUUAUGGGUUUUAUGCCACUUGUAUACUCACAUGGGGCUUACUGGUUUUAACAUUUUUAUUUUCUUUUUAGGAUAGUAUGAACAUAAUUAACUAAGCAAACUACUUUAAAUAAUUGAAAGGAAAAGGAUAACUACCAAGUUUACCUCUUGGCAAGGCGUUCGGUGUUUUUAAGUCCUCCGAACGGGACUCUCCGUUUUCUCAGUCGUCUUGGGAUUCGCUGGAUGGCAUAGUCGGUGCCUCUGGCGGUGCCUCCUCUUCGUGUAUAACUAUCUUCUUUCUCCACACCUGACUCGGUGUUACGGUCUCCUCAGGAUAGUUCUGUUCAAGCUGUAUGUCUUCAGACCUUACCACUUCUUCUUCAUAGUCUGCCCAUCCGUCCUUGAUGAUUUGCCUCCUCUGGUUGCGGUUGCGUCGUCUUCUUCUUGUCCUGACCUGCUUAGAGUCUUCAACUAUAUAGUUAGGGUCACUAAAAUAGCGGCGUACCUUCUCAUAGUGGAAGUGCAUGUGGACUUCUCCGGUUCCAAUGUAGAUGAUUGCUUUAAUGGUGCUGAGGAACCGUCUCCCAAGGAUGAUGGGUGGAUCAUACUCGUCUUCUCCCAUGUCAAUAACCUAAAAAUCUGUAUGGACAAAACGAUCAUCUAUUUUGACAGGGACAUCAGUUACUAUACCUUCAACCUUUCGGAAUGUCUAAUCUGCCAUCUGGAGCUGAAUGUAUUUCGGUUUUAGGGGCAUGCGAAUAGGAGCUGAUAGGUGACUGCGGCCAUUAUGUUGACGCCCGACCCGGUGUCGCAAACCGUCUUGUGAAAGUUGUAUCCAUUGAUGGAGCACUGGAUGCUUGGCAUACCUGGGUCAUCCUUAUUGGUCAGGAAUGGUGACUUGAGUUGACAAUCUUGACCUCCUUGAAUUGCAGUGACCAUCUAAGCUGACUUGGUCCACACUUGCUUGUUCCUGAUCCUCCUGUUGGUCCUCUUCCUUGGUUCAUGUCGAGAUUGCUCUGGGAUUUGUAUAGUCUUGUUCUUGAAGGAAAACGUCUCCUUCCUUCCCUUGAUGUAGAAACUGAUCUUGGCAGCACUAGCGUAGAUGACAGCCCCCUAGGUGUUCAGGAAUGGCCUCCCUAAGAUGACGGGUGCCCUCUCAUCAGAACCUGUCUCUAUCACCACGAAGUCUGCUCGGGCGUACAAGGUACCAACUCGGAGGCAGAGGUUCUUCAAUAUUCCCUUGGGGAAACUUAUCGUCCGAUCUACAAGCUGCAAGUACAUGGUUGUUUCUAGUAAAGGAUGUGUAAAGAAUUUUUCAUAGACUACCUUGGGCAUAAUGUUGAUGCUGGAGCCCAAGUCGCAGAGUGCUUCUGGGAAGUCCACCCUGCCCAUGGAGAUCGGUAUGACGGGGCGUCCUGGAUCGCCUCUCUUGAUCGGCAGAAGGUCAGUAGUUACUUCCACAACGUGGUUACUCCAGUAGUUACCUGUAUCAAACAUGUCUACAAGAUUUGCAGAUUCUAAUCCUUCCAGCUGUGAUGGUAUACCGGGGUUAGUAGUUGGAACAGCAGCAGCUAUUUGAUUUAAUUGAGAUUCAAUCAUUUUAUUAAAGCUAAUUUGAUUCUUGAUGGCAGUAGAGAAAUUAUGCAUUCUGUUAUUUAUAUUUUCUAGCAUUUUAUCAUUAGAUGCCAAUUUCUUAGAUAGGUUAUCCAUUAGGUUUCCUUGAUUAGACACUAACACUCUUAGAGGUGGAAAAAUAUUAUUAUUAUUGUAAGAAUUGUUACCUUGAUAAUUACCUGAGUAGUUAGGCCUCUGUUGAUUCCAACCUUGAUUUUAUUGAGGACGGUAGUAGUAGUAGUUGUUGUUGUUGAUGUAGUUCACGUCCUUAAGAAUCUCAGGGCAGUGAUUGUCUGAGUGUCCAGUAUCUCCACAAUCCUCACAAGUCAUGUGAGAGUCGUAGACGUGCAUGACUUCUUUCUUAUCUCCCGCUCUAUCAUCGAGCUUCUUCAUGAGCAGGUCUAGCUUGGCAGACAGCAUGUCUACCUCCUUGAGCUGGUGCAUACCUCCACCUCUCUUGCGUGUUUGGGUCAUUUCUUCAUUCCAGCCUUGGUUGGACGCCAUCUUCUCCACAAGAGCUGUGGCUUGUGGUAUGGUGAGUGAUAGGAAUGCUCCUCCAGCUGUAGCAUCCAUGGUCUCACGGGCACUAUUGCCGAGCCCAUGAUAAAAUGUCUGCAUCAGUAGCCAGCUCUCCAUUCCAUGAUGGGGGCAUUCUAGGAUGUAGUCUUGGAAGCGCUCCCAUGCUUCUGGAACGGAUUCAUCAUGUUGUUGCUGAAAACUUGUAAUUUUCCCACGGAGAGGAUUGGUCUUACCCAUGGGAGAGAACUUAGCCAGAAAGUUUAUGGAGCAGAGUGCCCACGUAGUAUUCUUCUCCUUUGUAGCGUAGAACCACUGCUUCGCUCUCCCCAACAGUGAGAAUGGGAAGAGGCGAAGUAGUAUAGCAUCUCUGGGGACUCCUGACAUGGUGAAUGUGCUGCAAAUCUCCAGGAAGUGUUGGAGAUGAGCACUAGCAUCUUCGUACGCCUUUCCACAGAACUAGUUGGCUUGCACCAUGUUGAUGAGUCCAGGCUUGAGCUCAAAGCUACAGUCGAUCUCCACAGCAGGUCCAAUGCGGAUGUUGUCUGUAGUGGGAGCUGAGAACUCGUGGAUCGACUUGUUCGCCAUGGCUUCGUACUCUGAAGACAAGUUCCUGAUGAAACUUCGGUGGUCUUCUUGGUUUGAUGAAGCUUUGUGCUGAAGUGUUGACGAUGUCUUCUUGAGCUUGGCUCUUGUUUUUCUGAAUAACGCUUCGGGGUCGUCAACAAAAUUUCCUAGAUGAUGUCUUCUAUUCAUACAUUAUCAUGCAUAAAAUAAUCAAAAUAGAAAAAUACAGGCAUAAAACUGUAUGAGAGAAUUGAUAAUCUCAAUCAUAUUAGUGAUGCGAAUGAUGACUCGAAAUUUCGUAUUCAUUCCUUAUUAGUAAUCAACCUUCCCCAGCAACGGCGCCAAAAAUGCUUGUUGGGCAUUCUUAACGUCAUUACCAAAAGUAGACUUAGUUUUCUAAUUCUGAUAACGGCGCCAAAAAUGCCGAACCUAUCCCUCAUGCCACUUAAGCCAAGUUGUCAUCCCCAGCAUGACAUGAGAGACGCGGUAUUAAAAAUAUGCAAUUGCUCUUCUGAAUGAAUAAUAAAUGAGAUCUACAAGCGCACAGAUUAAUACUGAUGUAGCAUUUUAACCGGGAAGUAUUACUGGUAUCGUUAUUAAUAUUUUUACCACUGGGAAGGGAUUGCUAAUCAUCAAUAUUGAUUAAGGAAUGGAAUAUGGAAUAUGUAUAAUAGAGAGCAUUUAUCUAUCUCUUUCAUAUAGGGAUAAAUGUCACAUAAAAGAUAGAUAGAGUAUGAAUGGUGACAAAGAUAAUUAAUCUGAUCAGCAUAACUAGCCACAUAUAAUAAUGAUAAGCACCUCAAUAGAUAUUGUAGCAAGCCAUUAGCAUGGAAUUAGGAUGAACUACAAGAAUAUUUUCUAACUUAUUUGUUGACGGUCCUUAAGUAUCAAAUUUAAUUAUCAAAUAAACAAAGAAAAGGAUCCAAAUGAAAUCAACAUCUAGACUUAGGGUUUUAUCUGACAAAAUUCCACGAGUUUUGGUGUUUGUCUAUUUCUGCAGGGGGUUAUUAGGAAAUACGGAAGAAAGGCCCACACGUCGGGAUUACAUAAAGAUAUCAACGUGCCGCGCAAUUAUCUUACAUCUAGAAGACUCGAGAAGCCACGGAAAGGAAGCGAAGGCCGAACGGGGCCUGGCCCUGGGCGCCCGCCCAGGUAACCAGGGCGCCCGCCCCCCUUCUGAGUCCAAUCAGGACUCUCUUUCGGGAAAGAUCUCCACCGACCUAAAGGAUCAAGGAUAAUCGUUCAAUCAAUGUCGGUUUGAUCCAACGGCCCAUAUUCACUUGAAGGGACUAUAAAACUAGACCCCCUGGCCCCUGGAGGAGAGAGCCUCUCAACCCGAAUUCAUUAUUCUCAAGGGAGAAGAAGCCUCUGAUCAAGAUUAGAGCCACCACAUCAAUUAGAUAUCUAGAUUAGCAUAGCUACAUAGGAUUAGAACUAGAAGGAGUCAAUCUUCGAUUGGUUUCCGGAUCUGUCAAGAGGAUUCUUGGUAAUUCUCUAAUUGUGCUUCUAAUUGUUCUUCUAAUCAUCUUUGUUCUUCAAUAUUAUGAAUAUGACUUUGUUGUACUUCAAUAUAUUGCUUAUGACUUUGCUCUACUUGUUUAUAUUCAAGAUUAUAUUGUUCUUAGUUUAUCAUAGUUAUGUACUUGGCUUAGUUAGAUUGGAUCUAUAUACAUGCUUAGGAUCGUAUAGCGUUUAUCCAUCGGAACCAUAGGUAAAUGAUAGAUAUUGUGUAGGCGUGGUGCUUAUACCGUAUUUAUCUGCGAUUGUACCCAAUAUGCCAGAUCGUGGGGUAGUUCGUGAUAGUGACAGCUUCAUUGAUUCUUAUAUAGUCCCCCUCUCGUGUAUUGGGCUGGCAGAGCAAUAUUAUUACAGGAGAGUGUUUGCUAUGUUUCUCAUUUACCUUGCUAAUAUCACUAUGCAUGGGCGUAGUCUUGUCUCGCAAUGAUUGCUAAGUAUGCUUGCACUAACUAUGAUAAUGCUAGACUAUAUAGUUGAGAAUAACUUAGGAAAUAUUCUUGUAGUUUGUUCUAAUACCAUGCUAAUGACUUUCUAGAAUAUCUAAUUGAGGUGCUUAUCAUAUUUAUUAUGUGGCUAAGUUAUGCUGAUCAGAUUAAUUAUCUUUGUCACUAUUCAUUACUUCAUAUAUCCUUUAUGUGACACUUAUCCGUAUAUGUUAUCCCUGUAUGAAAGAGUUAGAUAAAUGUUCUCAAUUAUAUAUGCAAUGAUAGAUACUCAAUCUCAUAUUCUAUUCUGUAAUCAAUAUUGAUGAUUGCUAAUCCCUUCCCAGUGGUAAAAAUAUAAAUAACGAUACCUAGAAUACUUCCCGGUUAAAAUGCUACAUCGGUAUUAAUCUGUGCGCUUGCAGAUCCUAUUCAUUAUUUAUUUAGAAGAGCAAUUGCAUAUUUCAAUACCGCGUCUCUCAUGUCAUGCUGGGGAUGACAACUUGGCUUAAGUGGUAUGAGAGAUAGGUUUGACAUUUUUGGCACUGUUACUAGAAUUAGAAAACUUUCUACUUUUGGUAAUGAUGUUAAGAAUACCCAACAAGCAUUUUUGGCGCCGUUGCCAGGGAAGGUUGAUUACUAAUCAGGAAUGAAUAAAGGAUUUUGAGUUAUCAUUCCCAUCACUAAUAUGAUUGAGCUUAUCAAUUCUCUCAUACAGUUUUACCCUAAUAUUUACUAUUUUUAUCUUAUGCACGGGAAUGUAUGAAUAAAAGACAUCUUCCAGAACAUUUUGUUGUCAAUCCUGAAGCAUUAUUCAGAAAAACAAGAGCCAAGCUCAAGAAGAGAUCAUCAACACUUCAGCAAGAAGCUUCAUCCAAUCAAGAAGAUCACCGGAACUUGUCUUCAGAGUUCGAAGCCAUGGCGAACAAAUCAAUCCGUGAGUUCUCAGCUCCCACUACGGACAACGUCCGCACUGGACCUGCUGCAGAGAUCGAUGGCCACUUUGAGCUCAAUCCUGGACUUAUCAACAUGGUGCAAUCCAACCAGUUCUGUGGGAAGGCACACGAAGAUGAUAGUGCUCAUCUCCAACACUUCCUGGAGAUUUGCAACACAUUUACCAUAUCAGGAGUCCCCAGAGAUGCUAUACUACUUCGCCUCUUCCCAUUCUCACUGUUAGGAAGAGCGAAGGAGUGGUUUUACGCUACAAAGGAGAAGAACACUACGUGGGCACUCUGCUCAACAAACUUCCUGGCUAAGUCCUUUCCCAUGGGCAAGACCAAUGCUCUCCGUGGGAAGAUUAUAAGUUUUCAGCAACAAAAUGAUGAAUUUGUUCCAGAAGCAUGGGAGCGCUUCCAAGACUACAUCCUAGAAUGUCCCCAUCAUGGAAUGGAGAGUUGGCUACUAAUGCAGACAUUUUAUCAUGGGCUCGGCAACAGUGCCCGAGAGACCAUGGAUGCUGUAGCUGGAGGAGCAUUCUUAUCACUUACCAUAUCACAAGCCAUAGCUCUUGUGGAGAAGAUGGCAUCCAAUCAAGGCUGGAAUGAAGAGAGGACCCAAACACGCAAGAGAGGUGGAGGUAUACAUCAGCUCAAGGAGGUAGACAUGCUAUCUGCAAAGCUAGACCUGCUCAUGAAGAAGCUCGACAAUAGAGCUGGAGAUAAGAAAGAAGUUUUGCACAUCUACGACUCUCACAUGACUUGUGAGGAGUGUGGAGAUACUGGACACUCAGGCAAUCACUGCCCUGAGAUGCUUGAGGAUGUGAACUACAUCAACAAUAACAUCAACAACUACUACAACCGUCCUCAACAAAAUCAAGGUUGGAAUCAACAGAGGCCUAACUACUCAGGUAAUUAUCAAGGUAACAAUUCUUACAACAAUAACAAUAAUUUUCCACCUCUGAGAGAGUUAGUGUCUAAUCAAGGAAAGCUAAUGGAUAACCUAUCUAAGAAAUUGACAUCUAAUAAUAAAAUGCUAGAAAAUAUAAAUAAUAAAAUGGAUAAUUUCUCUACUGCCAUCAAGAAUCAAAUUAGCUUUAAUAAAAUGUUUGAAUCUCAAUUAAAUCAAAUAGCUGCUGCUGUUCCUACUACUAAGCCCGGUAUACCAUCACAACCGGAAGGAUUAGAAUCUGCAAAUCUUGUAGACAUGUUUGAUACAGGUAAUAACUGGAGUAACCCCAUCACUAAAUUCACUACUGACCUUCUGCCGGUCAAGAGAGGCGACCCAGGACGCCCCGUCAUCCCGAUCUCCAUCGGCAUGGUGGACGUCCCAGAAGCACUCUGUGACUUUGGCUCUAGCGUCAACAUUAUACCCAGGGUACUCUAUGGAAAAUACUUUACAUAUCCUUUAUUAGAGACAACCAUGUGUUUGCAUUUUGCACAUCAGACGAUAAGUUUCCAAAAGGAAUCUUGAAGAACUUUUGUGUCCGAGUUGGUACCUUGUAUGCCCGAGCAUACUUCAUGGUGAUAGAGACCGGUAAUGAUGAGAGGGCACCCAUCAUCUUAGGGAGGCCAUUCUUGAACACCUCAGGAGCUAUCUUCUACGCUAGUGUUGCCAAGAUCAGUUUCUACAUCAAAGGGAGGAAGGAGACGUUUUCCUUCAAAAACAAGACUACACAAAUCCCAGAUCAAUACAGACGUGAAUCAAGGAAGAGGACCAACAGGAGGAACAGGAACAAGCAAGUGCGGACCGAGUCAGCUAAGAUGGUCACUGUAGUUCAUAGAGGCCAAGAUCAACAACUUAAGUCACCAUUUUUGACCAAGAAGGAUGACCCAGGAUUGCCAAGCAUCUACUGCUCCAUAAAUGGAUACAACUUCUACAAGACGACUUGCGACAUCAGAUCGGGCGUCAACAUAAUGGCCGCAGUCACCUAUCGGCUCUUGUUCGGAACCAUGCCCCUGAAACCAACAUACAUUCAGCUCCAGAUGGCAGAUCAGACGUUUCAAGAAGUUAAAGGUACGGUAAUUGAUGUCCCAGUCAAAAUAGACGAUCAUUUUAUCUACACAGACUUUCAGGUUAUUGACAUGGGAGAAGACGAAUACGGUCCACCCAUCAUCCUUGGAAGACCGUUCCUCAGCUCCGUUAAAGCAAUCAUCUACAUUGGAACCGGAGAAGUGCAUAUGCACCUCCCCUCAGAGAAGGUACGCCGCUAUUUUACUGACCCUAACUAUAUUGUUGAAGACUCCAAGUAGGUCAAAAAACGACGCAACCGCAACUAGAGGAGGCAAAUCAUCAAGGACGGAUGGGCAGACUAUGAAGGAGAAGUAGUAAGGUCAGAAGACGUACAGUUUAAACAGAAUUAUCCAGAGGAGACUGAAGCACCGAGUCAGGUAUGGAGAGAGAAAAUAACUAUACAUGAAGAGGAGGCGCUGCCGGAAGUACCGACUACGCCUCCCAACGAAUCUCAGGACAACUGAAAAUACGGAGAGUCCCGUUCGGAGGACUUAAAAACACCGAACGCCUUGCCAAGAGGUAAACUUGGUGUUAUCCUUUCCCUUUCAAUUAUUUCAAAUAGUUUGCUUAGUCAAUCAUGUUCAUACUAUCCUAAAAAGAAAAUAAAAAUGUGAAAAAAUAGUAAGCCCCAUGUGAGUAUACGAGUGGCAUAAAACCCAUAAGUACAUUCACUAUGGUGGCAUAAAAAUAAAAUAAAUAUUUCUUUUCUGCUUUAUAAAAUAAAAAUAUAAAAAUAGGGAGUAACAUUUAUUAAGGAGUCUCAACAUGAUAAAGGCUAGAUAUUUAUGCUAACACUUAAUCAGUUCCACAAGCUUUGUUGUCUAUUUGAGCUCCACAGAAUUUAAAAAUCAAGAAGACUAGCAAACGGAGGACAUUCUAAUCGCUGUCAAGAUACUGCCGACUUUCAAAUACACCUCUACCACCUGCUAGCUACAUCAAGAGAAAUUACGUCAAAAUUUAGCUUAGGGGAGAGCACCCCCAUUUAUCCCGCUAAGUAUUUCUAUCUAUCUUUAUACUUAUACUAUAUUAAAAUAUAAAUAUACAUAACUAUGAAAAACCAAAUAAAGAUUUUAUGCUUAUAUAUAUAUAUCUUUUGCUUAGUGUGUUUAAUAAAUAAAUAAAGUGGCUAUGCUAAUCUGAAUCUUAAUAAUAAAACUCUAGCAUGGAUAUGAUGAAUAGUUGCUCUGCCCAAUUUUAAAAUUUGAAGUUCUCUCUCAAGUUUAGACAUAACUGUUAUAAUUUAAAGCUUGCUCUAAACCUAAACUUGUGGGAUGAAAACUUGAUCUGAAGUCCAAGUUGUUAACGGAUAUGAUAUAGGAAGGUUGAGCUGUUGUUUAUCUGUUCCUAGAGAUGCUAGAAUUCUAGAGAAUUUUAUCUUUUAAAAUCUUUAAAAUAUUGUAUGAUGACUUCCUGUAUGAUGAGAGUUUAAAUUCCAACCACAACCAUAUAUACAUGCUUGCUAGACUUUGAGCCACACAUUUACUAUUUACUCCUUAUGAGCAUUGAGUGUGGUCAAGCUGUGUAGACCCUUAGAAGCUUGUCAUGUGGUUAAAUCAAGAUUCACUUGCACGUUCAUUCACAUAUGCUGCUUCUACUCCGGAAGUACCAUGCACAUAUAUCCACCCAUUUCCAUCUCCAGAAUCACCCAGAAAUAUUCUACUCCUAAUCCGGGGAGAGAAUAGCCAAAAAUAUUUCUGUUUUUCCCUGUGAAAUAAAUGCUCAAGUUAUCUUGUUACUACCACUUGCUAUAUUAUCUCAAGAGAUGAGUGCUCUAAAAAAAAAGAGAGAAAGAAAAAAGUAUACGAGGAAAUAAAAAGGGGCAAGUACCCGGAACCUCGAAAGAAAAGAAAAAGUGAGACGAGAGGUAAAAAUGGACAAGUGUCCGACAGUAGAAUUAGGGGUACAAGAUACCCACCAGAGAGGAAAAAAAGAGAAGAGCAUCUCAUUCUCCUCAUAAAGUUUCAAAAAGCAAGGAAGGUAUGUAUCCCCUCAAAGAGCAAAAGUAGAAUUAGACUUUCACCAUUGUUAUCAGAAUCAUCACCAUACACCAUUCAUUCGCCACACAUGCACAUCUUGAUUUGACUUAUUGAUUUGUUUCUUUGGAUCCAUGGUUUGACUAUACAAUAAAUGUCUUGUAAGUAUGUAUACUUUAUCUCCCACCUAUGUGCUCCAAAUAUUAAAGCUUUAUUAGAGUAGGGUGAGAGAGAAGACAAUGUCACUAUGCUUUAUACCAUAAAUACCACAUAUUUUGAGAGAAGGCAUAUACCAUCACUGCCUUGGUAAGGAUCCAGAAAUACCACAAAAGAGAGAUAUGAGAGAGUCAUACAAGGAAUCUCUAAGUUUUAUUUGAAAAUCUUCAAAAACUCCAGAGCUAUAGCUGAUCAAGAAUAAGAGACAUGACACUUGACUAGACCGUUCUAUCUUUUAACCACUCAAGACAGAAGUGACGGUUACAAGUCCCAUGGUGAAAGGUAAAGUAAGUAAGUUUUAAGUCUUGACAGUUUACUCUAAUUUAGAGAUGAUAUCUUAUUUAAAAGCAAGUGUACCAUCAAUUUUUAAAAAAAUAUGUUGCAACAACUUCUGAUCCAUCGCUGAGUCUAUCCUUGCUCAGGGACGAGCAAGAGGUAAGCUUGGGGGAGUUUGUUGACGGUCCUUAAGUAUCAAAUUUAAUUAUCAAAUAAACAAAGAAAAGGAUCCAAAUGAAAUCAGCAACUAGACUUAGGGUUUUAUCUGACAAAAUUCCAUGAGUUUUGGUGUUUGUCUAUUUCUGCAGGGGGUUAUCAGGAAAUACGGAAUAAAGGCCCACACGUCGGGAUUACAUAGAGAUAUCAAUGUGCCGUGCAAUUAUCUUACAUCUAGAAGACUCAAGAAGCCACGGGAAGGAAGCGGAGGCCGAACGGGGCCUGGCCUUGGGCGCCCGCCCAGGUAACCAGGGCGCCCGCCCCCCUUCUGAGUCCAAUCAGGACUCUCUUUCGGGAAAGAUCUCCACCGACCUAAAGGAUCAAGGAUAACCGUUCAAUCAAUGUCGGUUUGAUCCAACGGCCCAUAUUCACUUGAAGGGACUAUAAAACUAGACCCCCUGGCCCUUGGAGGAGAGAGCCUCUCAACCCUAAUUCAUUAUUCUCAAGGGAGAAGAAGCCUCUGAUCAAGAUUAGAGCCACCACAUCAAUUAGAUAUCUAGAUUAGCAUAGCUACAUAGGAUUAGAACUAGAAGGACUCAAUCUUCGAUUGGUUUCCGGAUCUGUCAAGAGGAUUCUUGGUAAUUCUCUAAUUGUGCUUCUAAUUGUUCUUCUAAUCAUCUUUGUUCUUCAAUAUUAUGAAUAUGACUUUAUUCUACUUCAAUAUAUUGCUUAUGACAUUGCUCUACUUGUUUAUAUUCAAGAUUAUAUUGUUCUUAGUUUAUCAUAGUUAUGUGCUUGGCUUAGUUCGAUUGGAUCUAUAUACAUGCUUACGAUCGUAUAGCGUUUAUCCAUCGGAUCCAUAGGUAAAUGAUAGAUAUUAUGUAGGCGUGGUGCUUAUACCGUAUUUAUCUGCGAUUGUACCCAAUAUGCCAGAUCGUGGGGUAGUUCGUGAUAGUGACAGCUUCAUUGAUUGUUAUAUAGUCCCCCUCUCGUGUAUUGGGCUGGUAGAGCAAUAUUAUUACAGGGGAGUGAUUGCUAUGUUUCUCAUUUACCUUGCUAAUAUCACUAUGCAUGGGCGUAGUCUUGUCUCGCAAUGAUUUCUAAGUAUGCUUGCACUAACUAUGAUAAUGUUAGACUAUAUUGUUGAGAAUAACUUAGAAUAUAUUCUUGUAGUAAUAUCCCAUUCAUUAUUUAUUUAGAAGAGCAAUUGCAUAUUUCAAUACCGCGUCUCUCAUGUCAUGCUGGGGAUGACAACUUGGCUUAAGUGGUAUGAGAGAUAGGUUUGGCAUUUUUGGCACCGUUACUAGAAUUAGAAAACUGUCUACUUUUGGUAAUGAUGUUAAGAAUACCCAACAUUAUUCUUAACUAUAAAGUCUAGCAUAUCAUAGUUAGUGCAAUUAUACUUGGCAAUCAUUGCGAGACAGGACUACGCCCUUGCAUAGUGAUAUUAUCAAGGAAGAUGAGAAAAAUAGCAAUCACUCCCCUGUAAUAAUGUUGCUCUGCCUGCCCUAUACACGAGAGGGGGACUAUAUAAGAAUCAAUGGAGCUGUCACUACCACAAACUACCCUGCGAUCCGGCAUAUAGGGUACAAUCGUAGAUAAAUACGGUAUAGGCACCACGGCUACACAAUAUUUAUCAUUUACCCACUGUACACAUGGAUAAACGCUAUACGAUCCUAAACAUGUAUAUAAUUCCAAUCUAACUAAGCCAAGCAUAAAACUAUGAUAAACUAAGAACGAUAUAAUUGCAAAUAUAAACAAGUAGAGCAAAGUCAUAAUCAAUAUAUUGAAGUUGAACAAAGUCAUAUUCAUAAUAUUGAAGAACAAUGAUGAACAAAUGAAGAACAGUAUAGGAAUUACCAAGAAUCAUCUUGAUAGAUCCGGAAACCAAUCGAAGAUUGACUCCUUCUAGUUCUAAUCCUAUGUAGCUAUGCUAAACUAGAGAUCUAGUUGAUGUGCUGGCUCUAGGGCUUGAUUAGAGACUUCUUCUCCCGAGAUGAAUGAAUGAAUUAUGGCUUUAGAGGUCCUCUCCUCCAGGGGCCAGGGGCCUGCUUAUAUAGUCCUUCCAAAUGAAUAUGGGCCGUCGGAUCAAACCGACCUUAAUCGCACGGUUUUCCUUAAUCCUCUAGGUCGGUGGAGCAUGAUCCGUGAGGUGGAGCCUAAUUGGCUCUCUGGCCAGGGCGGGUGCCCAAGGGGAGAGGGCGGGCGCCCUGUCCCCGGGCCCUCUCGGCCUCCCGCUCGUUCCAGUGGCUUCUGGACUCUUCUAGAUGUUGGAUAAUUGCGGUGCACAUUAAUAUCUCUAUGUAAACCCGACGUGUGGGCCUUUCUUCCAUGUUUCCUGAUAACCCCCUGUAGAAAUAGACAAACACCAAAACUCGUGGAAUUCUGUCAGAUAAAACCCUAAAGUCUGGGUGUCGAUUGCAUUUGGAUCCCUUUCUUUGUUUAUUUGUUGAUUAUAUUUGAUACUUAAGGACCGUCAACAAACUCCCCCAAGCUUACCUCUUGCUCGUCCCUGAGCAAGGAUAGACUCAGUGAUGGAUCAGAAGCUGCUGUAAUGCCAUUAAAAGUUGACGGUACACAUGCUUUCAAAUGAGGUCUCAUAUUUGAGUUAGAGUAAGCUGUCAAGAUUAAAACUUACUCAUUUUACCUUUUACCAUGGGACUUGUAAUCAUCACUUCUGUCUUGAGCAGUUAAAAGAUAGAACGGUCUAGUCAAGCGCCAUGUCUCUUAUUCUUGAUCAGCUAUAGCUCUGGAGUUUUUGUAGAUUUUCAAAUAAAACUCAGAGAUUCCUUUGUAUGACUCUCUCAGAUCUCUCUUUUGUGGUAUUUCUAGAUCCUUACCAUGGCAGUGAUGGUAUAUGCCUUCUCUCAAAGUAUGUGGUAUUUGUGGUAUGAAGCAUAGUAAACUUGCCUUCUCUCUCACCCUACUUUAAUAACGCUUUUGAUAUCUGGAGCUCAUAGGUGGGAGAUAAAGUAUACAUACUUACAAGACAUUUAUUGCAUAGUCAAACCAUGGAUCCAGAGAAACAAGUCAAUAAUUCAAAUCAAGAUGUGCAUGUGUGGCGAAUGAAUGGUGUAACAAUGGUGAAAGUCUAAUUCUACUUGUUGUGCUCUUUUGAGGGGAUACUUACCUUUCUUGCUCUUUGAAACUUUUUGAGGAGAAUGAGAUGCUCUAUAUUUUCUUUUUCUUUCCCCUCAGGUGGGUAUCUUGUAUCCCUAAUUCUACUAUCGGACACUUGUCCAUUUUUACCUCUCGUCUCACUUUUUCUUUUCUUUCGAGGUUCCGGGCACUUGCCCCUUUUUAUUUCCUCGUAUCUUUUUUCUUUUUUUUCUUUUUUAGAGCACUCAUCUCCUGAAAUAAUAUAGCAAAUGGUAGUAACCAAGAUAACUCGAGCAUUUAUUUCACCAGGAAAAAACAGAAAUAGGAGAAUGUUUUUGGCUAUUCUCUCCCGGAUUAGGAGUAGAAUACUUUUGGGUGGCUCUAGAGAUGGAAAUUAGUAGAUAUAUGUGGUGCGUAAUUCCGGAGUAGAAGCAGCAUGUGUGAGUGAACGAGCAAGUGAAUCUUAAUUUUAACCGCAUGGCAAGCUCCUAAGGGUCUACACAGCUUGACCACACUCAAUGCUCAUAAGCAGUAAAAAGUAAAUGUGUGGCUCAAAGUCUAGCAAGCAUGUAUAUAUGGCUGUGGUAGAAAUUUAAACUCUCAUCAUACAAGAACUCAUCAUGUGAUAUUUUAAGAUUUUCAAAGAUAAAAUUCUCCAGAGUUCUAGCAUCUCUAGAAACAGAUAAACAGCAGCUCAACCUUCCCAUAUCAUAUCCGUUAACAACUUAGACUUCAGAUCAAGUUCUCUUCCCACAAGUUCAGGUUUAGAGCCAGCUUUAAAUUAUACCAGUUAUGUCUAAACUAGAGAGAGAACUCAAAUAUGAAAAUUAGGCAGAGCAACUAUUCAUCAUAUCCAUGCUAGAGUCUUAUUAAGAUUCAGUUUAGCAUAGCCACUUUAUUUAUUUAUUAAGCAUACUAAGCAAAAGAUAUAUAUAUAAGCACAAAAUCUUUAUUUGGUUUUUCAUGGAUAUGUAUAUAUAUAUUUUUUUAAUAUAGUAUAAGUAUAAAUGCAGAUAGAAAUACUUAGCGAGAUAAAUGCGGGUGCUCUCCUCCAAGCUGGAUUUUAACGUAAUUUCUUCUGUUGUAGCUAGCAGGUGCUGGAGGUGUAUUUGAAAGUCGGCAGCACCCUGACAGCAAUUAGAAUGUCCUCCGUCUGCUAGUCUUCUUGAUCCUUGAAUUCUGUGAUCUCCAAUAGACAACAAAGCUUUGUGGAACUGAUUAGAUGUUAGCAUAAUAUUUAGAGCCACCUCAAUAAAUGCUACUUUCUUUGGUAGGAUCACAAUUUUAUUUUUGUAUUUUCAUUUUUAUAGAGCGGAAGAAUAUUUUUAUUUUAUUAUUAUUUUUUUAUGCCACCGUAGUGAAUGUACUUACGGAUUUGAUGCCACUUGUAUACUCACAUGGGACUUACUGGUUUUAACAUUUUUAUUUUCUUUUUAGGAUAGUAUGAAUAUAAUUAACUAAGCAAACUACUUUAAAUAAUUGAAAGGAAAAGGAUAACUACCAAGUUUACCUCUUGGCAAGGCGUUCGGUGUUUUUAAGUCCUCCGAACGGGACUCUCCGUUUUCUCAGUCGUCCUAGGAUUCGCUGGAUGGUAUAGUCGGUGUUACAGAACCGACCAAAUUAUAAGAGUUCAAGUGUAGAAACAAUCGACAAGCAAUCAAGUUUCCAAACUUGAGCCCAUAUAAUACUGGUAGUCAAUUGAAAUCACGAAGGACUUCAAACCAACUUGCAACAAACCAAGAUCGUAAUAACUCAGCACAACACAGCGAAUGUUACAUAGUCAUUCAUUGCUAUCGAAGCGGCACCACAUCGGAGUUAUUAAGUUAUUACAACACAUGUUCGAAGUAGCGGAAGCAAAAUAAUUACACAACGGAAAACAUCGUCAUAACAUAACGAACAUGUUAAGAUUGCACAUUGGGUCUACAAAGUUAUUACACCAUCACAGUACAUGCCAUGAGUCAAGGUCAAAGUUCCGGAUUACAACAUGGGUACAAAAGCAUCACCGCUAGCUGCCAGACUACAGAAGAUCCUCACAUAACACUACCCACUAGUCCCUACACUCCAGGCUCAUCGUCCGAGUCAGCGUCGAAGAUUGCAUCUCCAUCCUCAUCGCUAACUGACUCAAGCUCCUCGUCCUCCACGUCCUCGUGCAAGGGUGGUGCAUCCGCUGCUGGUCCAUCGAUCUCCAUACCAUCAUCAUCGGCCACAAUCACCUGAGGUCCCACCUCUGGAUACACGGGUAUAGGGUGAGGAAUAGGGUGUAACAAGUUGUUGAGACGGUGAAUCUCCACAAGACCAGCCUCAAUCUGAUCCUGUAGAUAGUUCUCCCGCUCAAGCGACUGAACCCGGUGCAUCUCCCAAGCCCGGCGCCAGUUCUCCGACACACGGAGUGCAGUGUCCCUCUCACGAGUGAUCUGCACCAAGCGCUCCUGUAUUGUCUCCCUCUCUCGAGACAACUGGCUCAUAUGAUCCUGCUUAUGAUCCCUCUCCCUAAUGGCCUUCACCCACGCAAUGCCUUUCCAGUCAUUGCGGUCCUUCUGAGCUUGCUCCAGGAGUCUAGCUUGCUUGUGAAACUUGCGAGCACGCUUUUCAGCCUUCCGUUGCAUCUCCUGAGCCUGGCGAACAGCCACCAUCACCUGUGCAUAGGUGUCCUCUCGCUGACUGAUCAGUUUGAGCACAGCCAUCAUAGCACUCAUAGCAGGACUAGAGCUCUCAGCUCUCUCUCCCCUGCCUCAAACCAAAGCACAACCAUCAGCCUGUUUCCACUCCGCUGCUGCUGGGUCAGCACGGGGAAUGGAGGCCGCUGGUCCUCCUGUCAACUCAUCGCCACACCUCUGACAGAUAUCGAGUAGGAUAGUCUAGGCUGCAACCUGAGCUGCUUCCCAAGGAGUCUGCCCAUCUGAGCUACAGGUCCACCCUGUCCAUGCAGGCUUGCUCCCAUGUGGAGGGACAACUCCCUGCACAGCAAACCACUGCAACUCUCCUGUCCUAUCCAACUCCCACCAAGAAUACUGAGGUGGCUUAGUAUACCCUACUGACUGUAGCACUCUCCAGAGCAAAGUAGGAGUGCCAAACUCGCUCAAGAAAGUGUCACUGAGACAGGGUGAAGCGGGCGCAUCUAUCUAUGGAAAGGAAUAGGAAUACUGUUGACACUUGCUAACACCACUUGAAUACUAGGUUGUCAUCCCCAGCAUGGCACUAGAGUGUACUAUGGUAUUUAUACGCACACAGAUAAUCCGCAAGCGCACGGAUACCGUUGAAGCUUUUAGCCGGUUAAAGGUUUUAUCGUAUCCACAGGGAAACGGGAGAACCAACUACGCUCUAACUUAACCAAGAUAGAUAGAUAGGUGUAAAUAGGAAAGAUGAUAGAAUCGUAUAAGAACAAUAUUAAAGGUAAGAUAACAGUGAGUGAUAAUAUGGGAAUAGAGAGUAGAGAAAUUCUAGUAUAUGGGCGAUGGUAGCAGAAUAGAGAGGAUAACUAUGGUUUCUCUACUUCAAAGGGGUAUGUCUAUGUCUGGGACGAACCACGUGAUAAGAGUACACCACAAAGGAUGCUUAUCCAUAGGCCGAUAAACCCUACCCAUCCUGCUAACGAGAGGUGGACUACAGGGGACCAACGUAACUGUCACCUAUGCGGCCUACUACACGAUCCAGCUAGUCAGGGGAUAUCCACAAGUAAUCUAGGUCUAAGCACCACGCUUACACCUAUACUACAACUCUAACCUAUAGGGUCCUAUAGAUUAGAAGUACUCAAAAGAGUUGUGAACCAGAACAUACAUGAUUAGUAAUUGCAUAAUGAAUUAGAAGUAGAUUACCAGAGUCAUCCCAUGAGCAAGCUUGAUUGGAGCUUGAUCAUGGCGAAGUACAACCGGAGGAAGAACCAACAGGCCGGCCUCUCCUCUAAUCCUCCUUCGCUCUCCAUCUCGCUACUAUCUAGAUCUACUCUAGUUUAGAGAAGAGAGGAGAGCUCUCAUCUCUAAACCCUAGCUUUUGCUCUGACUAUGAAUAAUGAAUAAUGAUCAAGGGGUGUCUCCUCCAGGGGCCAGGGGGUCUGGUUUUAUAGUCCCCUCAAGUGAACCUGGGCCGUCGGAUCAAACCGACAUUGAUUGAACGGUUAUUCUUGAUCCUUUAGGUCGGUGGAGCAUAAUCCGCGAGAUUGAGCGUGAUUGGCCACAGGAGGUGGGCGGGCGCCCUAAGGACUUGGGCGGGCGCCCUGUCCCUGACUCCGUUCGGUCUCCGCUUCCUUCCCGUGGCUUCUGGAGUCUUCUAGAUGUAAGAUAAUUGCGCAGCAUGUUAAUAUCUCUAUGUAAUCCCGAUGUGUGGGCCUUUCUUCUGUAUUUCCUGAUAACCCCCUGCAGAAAUAGACAAACACCAAAACUCGUGGAAUUCUGUCAGAUAAAACCCUAAGUCUAGAUGUUGAUUUCAUUUGGAUCCUUUUCUUUGUUUAUUUGAUAAUUAAAUUUGAUACUUAAGGACCGUCAACAAACUCCCCCAAGCUUACCUCUUGCUCGUCCCUGAGCAAGGAUAGACUCAGCAAUGGAUCAGAAGUUGUUGCAAUAUCUUAAAAAUUUGACGGUACACAUGCUUUUUAAAUAAGUUCUCAUCUCUGAGUUAGAGUAAACUGUCAAGAACUAAAACUUACUUACUUUACCUUUCACCAUGGGACUUGUAACCGUCACUUCUGUCUUGAGUAGUUAAAAGAUAGAACAGUCUAGCCAAGUGCCAUGUCUCUUAUUCUUGAUCAGCUAUAGCUCUGGAGUUUUUGUAGAUUUUCAAAUAAAACUCAGAGAUUCCUUGUAUGACUCUCUAAAUCUCUCUUUUGUGGUAUUUCUGGAUCCUUACCAAGGCAGUGAUGGUAUAUGCCUUCUCUCAAGAUAUGUGGUGUUUGUGGUAUAAGGCAUAGUGACAUUGCCUUCUCUCUCACCCUACUCUAAUAAAGCUUUAAUAUCUGGAGUUUAUAGGUGGGAGAUAAAGUAUACAUACUUACAAGACAUUUAUUGUGUAGUCAAACCAUGGAUCCAGAGAAACAAAUCAAUAAGCCAAAUCAAGAUGUGCAUGUGUGGCGAAUGAAUGGUGUAUAGUGAUGAUGGUGAUAACAAUGGUGAAAGUCUAAUUCUACUUUUGCUCUUAUGAGGGGAUACAUACCUUCCUUGCUUUUUGAAACUUUAUGAGGAGAAUGAGAUGCUCUUCUUUUUCUUUCCUCUCAGGUGGGCAUCUUGUACCCCUAAUUCUACUGUCGGACACUUGUCCAUUUUUACCUCUCGUCUCACUUUUUCUUUCUUUCGAGAUUCCGGGCACUUGCCCCUUUUUAUUUCCUCGUUUAUUAUUAUUAUUUAUUUUUUUUCUUGUCUUUUCUUUUUUUCAGAGCAGUCAUCUCCUGAAAUAAUGUAGCAAGUGGUAGUAACCAAAAUAACUGGAGCAUUUAUUUCACAGGGAAUAACAGGGAUAGGAAAAUGUUUUUGGCUAUUCUCUCCCGGAUUAGGAGUAGAAUAUUUUUAGGUGAUUCUGAAGAUGGAAAUGGAUGGAUAUAUGUGGAUGGUACUUCCGGAGUAGAAGUAGCAUAUAUGAGUGAACGUGCAAGUGAAUCUUGAUUUAACCACAUGACAGGCUCCAAAGGGUCUACACAGCUUGACCACACUCAAUGCUCAUAAGCAGUAAAUAGUAAAUGUGUGGCUCAAAGUCUAGCAAGCAUGUAUAUAUGGCUGUGGUAGGAAUUUAAACUCUCAUCAUACAGGAACUCAUCAUGCAAUAUUUUUAAAGAUUUUUCAAAGAUAAAAUUCUCCAGAAUUCUAGCAUCUCUAGGAACAGAUAAACAGCAGCUCAACCUUCCCAUAUCAUAUCCGUUAACAACUUAGAUUUCAGAUCAAGUCUUCAUCCCACAAGUUUAGAUCUAGAGCAAGCUUUAAAUUAUAACAGUUAUGUCUAAACUUGAGAGAGAACUUCAAAUUUGCAAAUUAGGCAGAGCAACUAUUCAUCAUAUCCAUGCUAGAGUUUUAUUAUUAAGAUUCAUAGCAAACUUUAUUUAUUUAUUUAUUUAUUUAGCAAACUAAGAAAAGAUAUAUAUAUAUAUAUAAGCAUAAAAUCUUUAUUUGGUUUUUCAUAGUUUAUGUAUUUUAAUAUUCUAAUAUAAUAUAAGUAUAAAGAUAGGUAGAAAUACUUAGCGAGAUAAAUGGGGGUGCUCUCCCCCAAGCUGAAUUUUGACGUAAUUUGUCUUGAUGUAGCUAGCAGGUAGCAGAGGUGUAUUUGAAAGUCAGCAGUAUUCCGACAGCGAUUAGAAUGUCCUCCGUCUGCUAGUCUUCUUGAUUCUUAAAUUCUGUGGAGCUCAAAUAGACAACAAAGCUUGUGGAACUAAUUAAGUGUUAGCAUAAAUAUCUAGCCUUCAUCACGUUGAGCUUCCUCAAUAAAUAUUACUCCCUGUUUUUAUAUUUUUAUUUUGUAAAGUAGAAAAGAAAUAUUUAUUUUAUUUUUAUGCCACCACAGUGAAGGUACUUAUGGGUUUUAUGCCACUCGUAUACUCACACGGGGCUUAGUAUUUUUUAAUAUUUUUAUUUUCUUUUCAAGAUAGCAUGAUUAACUAAUAAUCUAUUUAAGGAAAGUAAAUAAUUAAAUGGAAAAGGGAAUGCAGAAUGGAUAAAUAUGGAUAACUACCAAUCUUACCUUUCGGCGAGGGUUCAAUGUUUUAAGUCUUCUUGUCAAGACUUCUCAUCGUGUUCAUUCUUCAGGUGCGUCAUUUGAUUCAGGUGCGGACCUUGACGUCUGCACCUUUUAAUACGGUGUCACCCAUGUUCUUCGUUUGCCCAGCAGUUCGAAGUGCGGUGUUAGCAGUAUCUUGCUCAGUGUGUUUGUGCUCGUAGUGUACCUGCUCAUAGAGACAAGGCAGAGAUCAAGUGCAUGGGCCCUGUUGGUGGAAAACACCAACAGAACCAAAAGUGUAUUUCUUCUCUAACUUUAAGCAUAGUGAGCAUGACAAAGUUGAUGGAUGAUAAGUUCAUGAGUGUAGCACUUAUAACAUUUGUCAGAUCAGAUCGCUCAGCCUUAUGAAAAGAUAAUCUAUCUAUGUAUAUGUCUUUUUCUUUAUAUCUCUCAAUGAUUGAAUGUGUAACAUUUUAGCUCAUAUGAUUAGGAGUGUGGGAUCAUGGAGGUAGUACUAAGAACAAGGAUUAAAGGACUAAACAUGUUGAAUCAGUUGGGUUGGUUAAUCUAGAGUUGUAAAUCAUACACGUUUGUCUCUUUUAUUUAUAUGAACGCCAGAACCAAGGAGAAGCUUAUAAAAGUGAUAGUCAAGUACCUUAAGAUGUUACCUUGCUCGAAGAGUGAUGGUACAGUAUCAUCUUGUGGAAGCUUUCCUUUCUUAGCGGUUGUGCGUCGUGUUUGUGGCACCCUCCAUGGAUCAUCUCUCUAUGAUGAAUGAGCUAUGUCCUUCUUGUGCAAAUUGUUAAACUUCAUGUGUCACUCUCUUCGUCUCUGAUGUGAGUUUAUCUUAGGACUUCCCAAAUCGAUAUUGAAAGUUUUUCUGCAGGGGUUAGUCCGACAAAAUAUACCAAUAUCUACUCAAGCAAUUUUUUUAGUUCAAUAACCAAACUAGACUCCAUGUCUAAUCAGAUUAAGGAAGGCUAUUUAACCUAAGCACCAUGCUAAAUUUAAAUGCCAAUGGAAGUAUGGCGAGUACUUCCAAACUAACACUUGCUAGUAAAUAGACAAAGGUAGCAUGACAGCAUUUAUAGAGAUCUACUCAAGUGGAGAUGAAGUAGUGUGACUAGUAUUUAACAAAUUGAGCAUGUCUCAAAGGUAGGGACAACCAGCAUAGCAACAUGGCAAAGGAUGUUUUUAUGUAAAGUACUCCCCCCAGCUUGAAUUUUGCAAAAUUCAAGUUUGGAUGAAUUUAAUUCAAUAUUGUAUGAUGAUUGGUUGGACAUACCUUGUGCUUGUCAUUCAUCCGAUCUUCUUGCUCCAAUCCUAGAAAGGUUAGUGACAAGAAUACCCGAAGGAAUAUUUUUUUGCAAUUAUCCUUGUAUGCUCAAUACACAAGGUAAUGUUGCAAAUAAUUAAAAGCUCAUGUUACGAUCUGAUCAAUGCUUAUUUUAAAACACUAAGCUUGUCCUUGGGAAACCAUCAGUUUAUGUUGGCGAAGUGGUUUCCCCUCUGACGCCAACCUAUAUCUAGAUCAACUCAACGAGAUCUGCAAUAUUUAUUAUAGACAUAUGCAUCGACAACCGCCCUUUUAAAGUUUUUAUAAAUAGAAAGGAAGAGGGGAUUGGAGAUCUCCAGUGUGGUGAUGUAGGAGAGACCAAUAGAUUGGGAAGAUGUUGCAUAUGAGCAUGGAGUAAACAAAGUGGCUAUGAAAUAAAUUCCAUGCUCAUUAAUGUUAUCUUCGUCUCCAAUCUGAAUGUUCAGAGUUUCUCUUGAAUUGGUCUCACUUAUGUCCUCUUCUAUAGUUGGAUGAAUCUCAUCUUCAAAGGAAGUCAAGAACUCACCAUUUGAAAUUGAGCCAAAGUCAGAAUCCAUUAAGGCUUCUUCCUUAUCCAUCCAUUCUACACAUUCUAGCCAUUUAGAACUUGUGACCAGGAAAAGGGAGGUGUUAGAAUUUUCAAUAUGGCUUAGCUCUCCUUCACUUGAUAUGUCAUCCUCGACUUCUUCAUAACAGGAAUGAGGACAUUCUCUAAGAGAAACAUUAUUGCAAUGAUUUGAAUUAUCCCUGCUUGAAGGUCUCUUAUAGAACCAGAAGUCUAAACCAUCAGCAUCUAAAAGAUUUAAGGUCGGAAUUCCUUCCUCCCUUGGAGAAUUUUGGGGUAUUGAUGGUUUAGGAUCGAUAGCUAAAGUUUGGGAUUGAAGUGGUUGUAAUCUGGCUAUCGAAACUUCUUCUUCUUGUCUAGGAACUGGUUCUGUCUCUUUCUCAGGGAUAUAGAAGCUAGGAGACUUUCCGCUCAUUAAAUCAAUCAAAUUCCAAGCUUCACUAGCGGAUAGGUGGUGGAAAGAUCCUCCAGAGGCCGCAUGAAGGGUUUGCUUAUCUUCCUUACUAAGGCCCUCAAAAAAGUGAAUUAGAAGAACUUCUUCUGGAAUAGAAAGCUUUGGGCCAGUGAGAGUAAGGUUAAUAAAGCGGUCCCAUGAUUUGCCAAGAGAUUCUUCUUCCAGUUGUCUAAAAGAAAGAAUCUCACGCCGAAGUUCCACCACUUUGGAGAUUGGAAAAUAUUUAGAAAGAAAACUACUAUAUAACUCCUUCCAAUCUCCAUGAACACUCCCUACUUUGAGUUUAUACCAAUGUCUAGCUUUUCCCGUUAAAGAGAACGGAAAGAGCUUCCAUUUAAGGGUCUCAUCGGACAUGCCUUCUUUUGAAAGGAGGUCACAGACUCGAUAAAACUCUCUUAGGUGUGUGUAUGGGUUUUCCUCACCUUCUCCUAAGAAAGGUUGUUUUUGAAUAAAUUCUAUGUAUUCGGGGUCUAUCUAAAAACUAGAUGCUAUGAUAGGCUUUGAAGAUUUUGGUGGUUCGAGAUGUGUGCCCAUAGGUCUAUGAAAUUCAUAGAUAGACAUGUUUGAAUUCAUAAUAGACCAGAGAUCAAGGAUUAGAUAAGAAGAAAGAAUAGCAGAGAUGAGGCAAAGGAUAAAAGGAAAAUAUUUUUGUUAUAUAUAUAUAUAUUUUUUAUAAAAUGAUUAAACUAGUUUGUAGUCAACUCAACAACCGUUUCCCCGGCAACGGCGCCAAAAAUGCUUGUUGACACUUGCUAACACCACUUGAAUACUAGGUUGUCAUCCCCAGCAUGGCACUAGAGUGUACUAUGGUAUUUAUACGCACACAGAUAAUCCGCAAGCGCACGGAUACCGUUGAAGCUUUUACCCGGUUAAAGGUUUUAUCGUAUCCACAGGGAAACGGGAGAACCAACUACGCUCUAACUUAACCAAGAUAGAUAGAUAGGUGUAAAUAGGAAAGAUGAUAGAAUCGAAUAAGAACAAUAUUAAAGGUAAGAUAACAGUGAGUGAUAAUAUGGGAAUAGAGAGUAGAGCAAUUCUAGUAUAUGGGCGAUGGUAGCGGAAUAGAGAGGAUAACUAUGGUUUCUCUACUUCAAAGGGGUAUGUCUAUGUCUGGGACGAACCACGUGAUAAGAGUACACCACAAAGGAUGCUUAUCCAUAGGCCGAUAAACCCUACCCGUCCUGCUAACGAGAGGUGGUCUACAGGGGACCAACGUAACUGUCACCUACGCGGCCUACCACACGAUCCAGCUAGUCAGGGGAUAUCCACAAGUAAUCUAGGUCUAAGCACCACGCUUACACCUAUACUACAACUCUAACCUAUAGGGUCCUAUAGAUUAGAAGUACUCAAAAGAGUUGUGAACCAGAACAUACAUGAUUAGUAAUUGCAUAAUGAAUUAGAAGUAGAUUACCAGAGUCAUCCCAUGAGCAAGCUUGAUUAGAGCUUGAUCAUGGCGAAGUACAACCGGAGGAAGAACCGACAGGCCGGCCUCUCCUCUAAUCCUCCUUCGCUCUCCAUCUCGCUACUAUCUAGAUCUACUCUAGUUUAGAGAAGAGAGGAGAGCUCUCAUCUCUAAACCCUAGCUUUUGCUCUGACUAUGAAUAAUGAAUAAUGAUCAAGGGGUGUCUCCUCCAGGGGCCAGGGGGUCUGGUUUUAUAGUCCCCUCAAGUGAACCUGGGCCGUCGGAUCAAACCGACAUUGAUUGAACGGUUAUUCUUGAUCCUUUAGGUCGGUGGAGCAUAAUCCGCGAGAUUGAGCGUGAUUGGCCACAGGAGGUGGGCGGGCGCCCUAAGGACUUGGGCGGGCGCCCUGUCCCUAACUCCGUUCGGUCUCCGCUUCCUUCCCGUGGCUUCUGGAGUCUUCUAGAUGUAAGAUAAUUGCGCAGCACGUUAAUAUCUCUAUGUAAUCCCGAUGUGUGGGCCUUUCUUCCGUAUUUCCUGAUAACCCCCUACAGAAAUAGACAAACACCAAAACUCAUGGAAUUCUGUCAGAUAAAACCCUAAGUCUAGAUGUUGAUUUCAUUUGGAUCCUUUUCUUUGUUUAUUUGAUAAUUAAAUUUGAUACUUAAGGACCGUCAACAAAUACCAUGGGUAAAAGAGGAUUAGUUUAAGCAACAUUUAUUUAAUUAAAAGGGACGACAUUGUAAGGGAAGGAGUAGACAGAAUGUAUGUAUGAAUGUGACAUGAUGCAUGCACGAACCAGACGUCCUCACAAACUUAGAAAAUUAAUAUUCUAACGGAUAUACGGUGGUAUACAUUCGUCUCUCGAUACGAUAACUAGCGAUUUACACAUGCGCUGUUAGAGUACCUGCAGAAAACUUCAUUUCAACCCAACAGUUCCCACAAUAUCACUCAAGAAAGCAGUAAACUAAGUGCACAUUGCUUGGACAUGCCCAAUCAUGCACAAACAAUGACACCACAGCUACCCGAAAAAUUAAAUGCUCCCCAAUUAAGUUUCUUUCGUGGUUCCAUGGUUUUGACAUGAGACAACUCCAGAAAACCACCGCGAACACUCCCCUAGACCGCCGUUUGGACGACCAUGCUCUCACAGCUCACACUUACCAGAGCGUAGGUGCGACGUUGCACAAUUUAAAUCUAGCGACAUAUGUGGCUAAUUCACAUAUGAAGGCUACCUCCACCAUUAGACCACAGGGUAGCAUAGUGCGGUCAUCACACAUCCAUACCUGAGUACUGCCGGAGAUGCAUAAAUAAAACCCCCAAGUCAGUACUUAAAUAGCCACCUAUAGUCCUUAUAUGGGCAAGGAGGAUUCGAUCUCUGGCAUAACUUAAGUAUUGAUUUACACCAUUUUAUUUAAAAACUCUUUUGUUUCUAAAUACACAAACGCUGCAUUUAUAUUGCUGAACUUGCUCCGAUACCAGCUGUCACAGAACCGACCAAAUUAUAAGAGUUCAAGUGUAGAAACGAUUGACAAGCAAUCAAGUUUCCAAACUUGAGCCCAUAUAAUCCCGGUAGUCAAUUGAAAUCACGAAGGACUUCAAACCAACUUGCAACAAACCAAGAUUGUAAUAAUUCAGCACAACACAGCGAAUGUUACAUAGUCAUUCAUUGCCAUCGAAGCGGCACCACAUCGGAGUUAUUAAGUUAUUACAACACAUGUUCGAAGUAGCGGAAGCAAAAUAAUUACACACACUUGUUCAAAGUUCAGUUCACAAGUUCUUGUUAUUGCCAGAGUCUCAUGCCAUCCAUCCAAAAGCAGCAGGUACGAGUUUGUUAGAGAAACAUGCCCAACGGUUAGUCCUCAUCCCUAGCGGGAUGGAGACAGGUCUUGCAGAAGCCAUCCUAAAAGAUAUCGUCUGCAACAGGUGGGAAUAAACCCUGAGUACGAGAUUGUACUCAGCUAGACUUAUCCGUCUUGUAAAACAUAAAAGACACCAAGGAUCAUGCAAGCCUAACAUCAAGUGGAGUUGGUUGACUCAACAUUUGCCAAAAGCUUACAUUAUAACUAAAUUAUUGGGAGAGCAUCAUAUUUAUUCAAUAUCAGCCUACCACUAGAUUAGCACCUGUACUAAAACACUUCACUUGAUUAUUACAAGCAAUAAUAACCAUAUCAAGUUUAUCAUCUGUUCUUCCUUGCUAUCAUCAUUAUCAUGAACCAAGUUCAUUAGUGAAUGCUACGUUUGCCGCUGCUCUGUCAAGUUCUCACUAACCGGGAGAGACGACAAUUCGAAUCGAAUUCCUAUCCAGCUGGAGGGGUAUUCCCAUCACUCACCCAAGCUUCCCCUGCCGGAGAGCCAACGGGUCACCUUUGAUACAACUCCGGAAUCGCGGUUCCGAUAAGCGCCGCACUCCCAGGGCUACCACUCUGCCAGGGAGGUUAGGAAUUUUAACUCACCUGCCUUUGGACUUACGCCAAUGGUCCCCCGCACACCGCACUUCCUCCGGUAGUGCGCACUUUAUACUUAUCGACCUUCCGGCCUGAGUCAUAUUACUCGGCUUCGCAGUCGGAACGAGUUAUCCGGCCAACUAAGUGUUAGGCAUGCGUUCAACAUGACAAGAGGACGUACAACGGUCGGUCCUUAGCUGCCACAGACGGAGUUACUACAACCUUGCAAAACUCUGCCCGGCUUAAGUCAAUUUAAUCAGGUUCCAUCCACGAUAGCAUAUAUAGACCAUCGUGAUCCGACACAACCCUAUAUCGCGCAGGUGACGGAAAAUCACCCGACUUCUACCGAUUAAGCAUGGCUAAGCUGCUACUCGAUCCUAACUCUAUAACCAAGGUGUGGUGGGUUAUCUGGACAAGGAUGGAGUAAAAAUGCAGCAAAGGUUUCAUCACAACUCCUAUACUUAAUGCAGCAAUAGAUAUAACAUAUUAAGUAAACUUUCGAAAGUAAAGGGAGGCUUAGAAUGCUCCGGGGCUUGCCUUUCACGAACGAGGCUGGCUCAUGACUUGGGCACUCAACUUUUUCUUUGGGCUCCUCGAGUCCGACUGGCUGGACCUCCACCUCCUGGCUGCCCUCCUGGCCUUCGGGGUUCGCUUGGAGCUCGAAGGAAGCGGUCACGUCCGAUGCACCUGUUGCAUGCUCAACUAAUAAGAAGAUGUGCAUAAAAGAGGAUGAAUGCUUGACACAUAAAUAAACUCACUGGACACUCAUUUACGGAGUAACGGUUAUAACAAGUUCACACAAGGUAGUAAGUUAACUAAUCAAAAUCUACCAAGUACUAGAACAGCAAGCAUCACAUAACAGAACCAGCUCAGUAAACAGAUCAUAACUAAUACUAGGCAGAUCCAACAAACAUGAGUGAGGACAUACUGGAAAGCUUAUAAAAUUAUGUACACGUCAUCUUUUAACAUCACAGCAAGAUUCAUAGGUUAACCAGGUCAUUUAAACAAAGUUCCAGGCUCUGUCCCAGAAAAACAGAGAACACCUAUUUCUGAAACCCCAACUUGGAACAGCCAUAACUUUCAAAUUACUGAACCAAAUGAUCCCAAAAUUAAACCACAGCUAGUCCAUAAAGUUUACCUCAACUUUGAUUUAGACAAGCCUCCCAGAAAACCAAGUUAGCAACAAGUAAAGACUACAUUACUCCCUUGCUGUCCAGAACAGCUUUUACCCUUUAAUUAAUUAUUUGAUGACAUAACCAAAAUACAAACAGUGCCAACCACAUGACUUAUAAGCACAAGUAUAACAUGAGGUCACCAGAACAUCAUAUAACAACCUCCAAUUAUUUAUUAAGAAGGCAUUUAUUAAUUUAAUUCUAGAAAGGAGCAUAAUUACAAGAUACUAGUAAAAGUGCUCAGAAAAAAAUCUACAAAAAUUACAGAAGCACAAGUAUAGCACCAAAGCAUCACCAUAAAAUUUUUCAAAGCAAUUGCACAUACCAAAUUAAAGAUAUGCAUUUAACAUGUGACAAGGUGUUUAUUUCAUAAAUUGAGAAACAUGACUUAUAUUGUGCCAAACAACAGAUUUUAGAUUAUUUACAUAUUAAAAAUACCAUAAACAAGUUUACUACCAAAGUAGAGCACCAGCAUAAGCACCAAUUAUUUUAUAUGAUUUAAUUAAGAAAAUGAUGAGGACAUCCCAACCAAGCAUGCUCCCUCUAAUUCCAUGCCAACCUCUACACCGACUACGCCGGCACCAGCCCAAGCCAUUGAUGGAGCAAUUACACGUAGCCGAGCCAAGAAGCUACAACAAGAGGUGAACGCGCUACUUUGUGAGAGUUCUAUUAAUGUUAAUGAGAAUAUUAUACUACCUAAGUGUUCUACUUUGGUUGUGCUUAGGUAUACACAUGAGGAGGGAGGUGACCUGGAUCGCAAGGAUUGGAACAACACGGUGCAGAACGGACCAGUUGAGAGAAGGGCAGAUCGGACCAGUACGGUGCAGAACGGACCAGUUGAAAGAAAAGAUCAUAACUUUCACUUUCGAGAUGCUAUGAAGGCCCAUGAGCACUUGUUGGAAAGCUCUUCGAGUCUACUUUCCAAUGAAUCAAGUGGCGACCAGUUUGGAUUCUCUAUAUUACCUGUAGACCAGAAUUAGUACAGACUGCUCAGAAGGUCAAUAGUCUGUCGUGACAGAAUGUUGGUACAACUUGCCAAGUAAAACUCUACCAAUCUACAGCGUUUCGUGGUGCAUGGCAUACGUUGCUGGAAAGCGCUUGGAGUCUAGUUUCACACCCAAGAAACGGUUCAUCAUUUGGACUUCCCAAUAAAAAGUUAUGGUCAGUUUAUUGGAAACUGCUCUGGAGGCCAACAGUCACGUGAAGCCACUUCGGGAAUCCAUUUCGAGAAUCCAUUUCGAGGGGACCUUUCACAUUGCCUUCCCUCAGAAACUCUAUUUCGUUUUCAUACCUAUCUAGCAGGGCUGUUGCUAGUAUAAAUACCCCCUAAGACUCAUUGUAAUCAAAGACUUAUAAUAUUGAGAAUACAAACCACUUUGUUCAGCUGUGUGCUAACAACUUCAGAGAGAGAUCUCUACCCCUUUGCUCUUGUGUUUUCCUUCGCGGAGAUUACAGAAGCGGCCGCGUCAUCGGCACCCAAUCUGUGCUCCUGAUCCUCGAGUUCAGGUUGCGUAGGUUGGUUCUUUGAGAGUGUGGUUGGGCGAAUCCUUGGUUCAGGCUGCCGUAUAGAGACGGUGGUUGGCUCCUUGUGCGUGUCGUCAGGUUGCACUAGUUAUCCUCGCUGCUUGCAGCAAAUUAUCGGCUGAUCUUUAGCUAUUUAUCCUACGUCGUGAAGAUCGGGACAACGACCUCACCAUCUGGUAUCAAAGCUCAAGUUUCCACGGUAGGAAUUUUACCCUUAGCUACAUAUAUAUAUCUUGUUCGUCCUAUCCACCAAAAAGCCAUAAAAAAAUUGCAUUAGCCCUUUGUUUUAGUCUGUUUUUCUUGUGAGUUUGGUUAAGUUUCAGUCCAUUAGAGUUUUGUUUAGUUGCUGAUCAUCAUAUCCUUUGUGUGUCCUUUGUGCCUCUUUUAUAUCUACAAAUCCCUAAAGAAAAUCUGAAACCGGCAUCAACCUUCGCGUAAACUUUGAGCCUAUCAAGUUAGAACGCUGACGGUUGUGUCUUGUUUCAAAAAAAAAGUGUGUGUAAGUGUUAUAUCUGCUCUUGUUCUUAGUUAUAAAAAAAAUAAAGUAUCAAAAAAAAGGAUAGUGAAAAAAAAAGAGAGUUGAGGAAGAAAAGUUGUGAAGAAAGAGUAGAAAGUUCACUCUGUUUAUGUGCUCAAGUUCUGAAUUUUAUAUCAAGACACACAAUCAGUCAUUAUCCAUCUUUGGUGCAAAAUUUUGCUUGGGUUUGAUUGCAACACUUGCAUCCUAGGCAUACUCCUUGUUUGCAUCAAAUCUGAAUUAUCUUUGCGCGUGUGUUUGAUCUAUUUACAUCACUCAUAUCUUGUGGUCAGCACUAGGCAUUGAACUUCUAGUUUGGAUUGUGGUUUAACUUUACAAUAUCAAGAAUUCAGACUGCAUUCCUUGUGAAAUAUAUCCCCACCAAGCUCCACAAAUAACCCACCGUCAUAGGAAAAUACUGAUCUUGGAUUCUCCCAACCAUCAUUCUUGGUUACCACCUCGCAUUGGCCGUUGUAAUCUGCAGGGAACUCACAUGAGCUUCGGUUGGUAAGAGAGGUGAGAUUGUGAGAUUCCACAUAUAAUUCCCUAAUUCUACAUAUACUGUUGCUUUGCCUUCACUAAUUUUUACAGCAAGAUGUCUGAGCAUCCGGAGAUUGAUGAUUGUGUCACCAUGGCACAAUUCGAUGAGAUGAAACAAACCAUGGAGACGCUAACAAACAAUGUUCAAGCACUCAUGAACCGGUUGCAAAUUUAUCCUCAUGAUAAUGCAAAUGGCAGUCACCAUGAAGAUGAAGUUGAAGAAAGUGAAGGAGAAGCUGCUCGUCGUGCAAGGGAACGGCGUAGAGAGCGAGCUGCUGCCAAUGCAAGAAGACCUCCUUUUCCACGACGUGAUCAUGGUGGUAGAGGUGCUGGUCAUGGACAUGGGAGAGGUAUUGGAUUGGAAGAAAGUGAAACUGAGGAAGAGGAUGAACAGCCCCAUUAUGAUGAUCGUCGUCACCGAAGAAAUCGUAGGCGUAAUCAGCACAAUGAAGAGAGGUUUGGCAAGUUAAAAUUCACCAUGCCCCAGUUUGAAGGAGGAUCUGAUCCUGAAGCAUAUCUUACAUGGGAGUUGAAGGUGGAUAAAGUUUUUCAUGUGCAUAAUUAUUUUGAGAGAAAGAAGGUUGCCAUGGCUGCUCUUGAGUUCGAUGGGUAUGCUCUAAUCUGGUGGGAGCAAAUGUUGAAUGAAAGAGAAGAAGCUGGUCAAGGUGAUGUUGUUCAUGGGCUGAAAUGAAGAGAGAAUUGAGAACAAGAUUUGUCCCCAAACAUUAUCGCCGUGAUUUAUUUGACAAGCUACAGAAUCUGAAGCAAGGAAGCCUCAGUGUUGAUGAGUAUUAUAAAGAGAUGGAGAAGGCGAUGAUUAGAGCCAAUGUAAUUGAAGAUGAAGAGCAAACAAUUGCAAGAUUUAUGUCAGGGCUGCAUCGGAAUAUUCAGCGCAUUGUUGAAUUUCAGCAAUAUCGUAAUCUUGUUGAAUUGGUGCAUCAAGCUAGCAAAGCUGAGCGGCAAUUGCAGCAGGAUAUGAAGUCCACUAGAGGAGUAUCUUUCAGCACAAAGAGUGCAGCAAGUGGAAGUAAAUUUGCACCCAAAGGAAGUGGAAGUAAAGGUACAUUUUCCAGCUCAAACGGUGGUGCACGAUCUAGCAACCUUGGUUCUUCUAGUAGCAAAGAGUUGGCUGCUCAAAAUGAGAAAUUCAAAUCAGCAAACUCAGUGGGUUCUUCCAGCAAGAGUAGUGGAAUUCAGUGCUUCAAGUGUGGUGGUCGUGGUCAUGUUGCAAGAGAGUGUCCAAACGCUAGAACCAUCAUUGUGAAUGAUCAAGGGGAGUAUGAAUCUGCUAGUGAGGAAGAACAAGAAGAUAGUGGAAGUGAGAGUAAUCUUGAGAAAGACAUCUGUGAAUUUGAAUCUGGUGCUACUCUUGUUGUAACUCAGAUUUUGAGUGUACAAAUGAGCGAUGCUGAAAAUGGACAGCGACACAAUCUUUUUCAGACUAGAGCUAAAGUGCAAGAUAAGGUUGUCAAAGUGAUCAUUGAUGGUGGCAGUUGCCACAAUCUUGCAAGCAAAGAAAUAGUUGAAAAGCUUGGGUUGAAGCUGCUGAAACAUCCCCAUCUAUAUCAUGUGCAAUGGCUUAAUAAUUCAGGUUCUAUUAAGAUUGCACAAAGAGUGAAAGUUCCAUUCAAGAUUGGUGAAUAUAUUGACACUGUAGAGUGUGAUGUGGCGCCUAUGACAGUGUGCCACAUGCUGUUGGGACGACCAUGGCAAUAUGAUCGAUCGUCUCUACAUUGUGGUAGAACCAAUCAAUACACCAUCAAGUGGAAGAACAAGGGGUUGAUUCUUAAACCCAUGACACCGCAGCAAAUCCUAGCUGAGCACUUGCAAAAGAGCUCCGAAGUGAGGAAUGAGAGUGCAAAAGAAGGAGAGAAAAAUAAUUUGAGUGCCCUCCACAAAUCGGUGAGUGAGAGCCACAAGCCAAACAUGAGAGAUGACACAAAAAGAGAGGGAGAGAACUUCGUGAUGAUAGCCACCAAAUCUGAACUGAGAGAUGUGAGGAAAAACCCAGAUCAAGUACUAUUUGUACUUGUGUGCAAGGACACAUUGCUUUCAGCUAAUGACUUAACAUCUGUCCCUAGUGUUGUUGCACGUGUUUUGCAGGACUAUGAUGAUGUUUUUCCAAAGGAAACACCUGCUGGACUUCCUCCUUUGCGCGGUAUUGAACAUCAAAUUGAUCUCAUCCCUGGAGCUGCACUUCCAAACCGUCCGGCGUACCGCACCAAUCCGGAAGAAACCAAGGAGAUUCAAAGGCAAGUACAAGAACUUUUAGAUAAAGGAUAUGUGCGAGAAAGUUUAAGUCCUUGUGCUAUUCCUGUGAUUUUGGUGCCAAAGAAAGAUGGUUCUUGGAGGAUGUGUGUAGAUUGUAGAGCCAUAAACAACAUCACCAUUCGUUAUCGUCAUCCUAUUCCUAGGCUAGAUGAUAUGCUUGAUGAAUUGAGUGGUUCUAUGAUGUUUUCUAAAAUUGAUUUGAGAAGUGGUUACCAUCAAAUUAGAAUGAAGAUUGGAGAUGAAUGGAAAACUGCUUUUAAAACAAAGUUUGGGCUGUAUGAAUGGUUAGUUAUGCCUUUUGGUUUGACCAAUGCCCCUAGUAUGUUCAUGAGGUUGAUGAACCAUGUCUUGCGAGCAUUCAUUGGAAAGUUUGUUGUUGUUUACUUUGAUGAUAUUCUAAUUUACAGCAAGACAUUGGAGGAACAUGUUGAUCAUAUUAAGCAAGUUUUGGAUGUGCUAAGAAAAGAAAAAUCAUUUGCUAACCUUGAGAAGUGCACAUUUUGUACAAAUCAGGUUGUGUUUCUUGGUUUUGUUGUUUCAGGUUCAGGAAUUCAGGUUGAUGAAUCAAAGGUGAAAGCAAUCAAGGAUUGGCCAACUCCUGAAAAUGUGAGUCAGGUGAGAAGUUUUCAUGGACUUGCUGGUUGUUACAGGAGAUUUGUGAGAGAUUUCAGCACCAUAGCUGCUCCAUUGAAUGAAUUAACAAAGAAAGGUGUUGCCUUCCAAUGGGGUGAACCACAAGAGAGAGCAUUCCAAGAAUUCAAGAAGAAGCUAUCCGAAGCCCCCUUGUUGGUGUUACCGGAUUUCACUAAAACCUUUGAGGUUGAAUGUGAUGCAAGUGGGAUCGGAAUCGGUGGUGUCCUAAUGCAAAAUGGACAGCCGGUUGCAUACUUCAGUGAAAAGUUAGGAGGUGCGCAACUGAACUACUCGGUGUAUGACAAAGAAUUGUAUGCUUUGGUAAGAGCUCUUGAGACUUGGCAACAUUAUUUAUGGCCAAAAGAAUUUGUUAUUCAUUCAGAUCAUGAGGCUUUGAAAUAUUUAAAGGGGCAAGCAAAACUGAAUCGUAGACAUGCCAAAUGGGUUGAAUUCAUUGAAACUUUUCCAUAUGUUGUGAAAUAUAAGAAAGGUAAAGAAAACAUUGUUGCUGAUGCUUUGUCACGUAAAAAUGUUUUGUUGAAUCAACUAGAUGUCAAGGUGCCAGGACUUGAAAGCAUAAAAGAAUUGUACCCUACUGAUCAUGAAUUUUCAGAACCAUUUGCAAACUGUACAACUAGAAAAGGGUGGGAAAAAUAUCAUAUACAUGAUGGAUUUUUGUUUCGAGCUAACAAAUUGUGUGUACCCCACUGCUCUGUUAGGCUUUUGUUGCUACAGGAAACACAUGCAGGUGGAUUGAUGGGUCACUUUGGAUGGAGAAAGACAUAUGAGAUGCUAGCUGAUCACUUCUACUGGCCAAAGAUGAGAAGAGACGUCCAACGACUUGUGCAAAGAUGCAUCACAUGUCACAAAGCUAAGUCAAAACUGAACCCUCAUGGAUUAUAUACUCCCUUGCCUGUUCCUAGUACCCCUUGGGAAGAUAUUAGCAUGGAUUUUGUUUUGGGCUUACCUAGGACAAAGAGGGGAAUGGAUUCAAUUUUUGUUGUUGUUGAUCGGUUCUCUAAAAUGGCACAUUUUAUACCUUGUCAUAAAAGCGAUGAUGCUUCGCACGUAGCCUCUCUAUUUUUCAGGGAUAUUGUAAGAUUACACGGCGUGCCCAAAACGAUUGUUUCAGACCGUGACACCAAGUUCUUGAGCUACUUUUGGAAGACAUUGUGGGCAAAGCUUGGAACAAGGCUGCUGUUUUCCACCACUUGUCAUCCUCAAACGGAUGGACAAACUGAAGUUGUGAAUAGAACACUUUCUAUGCUGCUACGAGCCUUGAUAAAGAAAAACCUGAAGGAGUGGGAAGAGUGCUUGCCACAUGUGGAAUUCGCUUACAACAGGGCAGUACAUUCUACAACUAAUAUGUGUCCUUUUGAAGUUGUGUAUGGAUUCAAACCCCUUGCUCCGAUCGAUUUGUUGCCUCUACCAUUGUAGGAAAGGAUUAACAUGGAAGCAUCCAAGCGUGCAUCAUAUGUCAAGAAGAUUCAUGAGAAGACCAAAGAAGCAAUCGAAAGAAGGUCCAAGUACUAUGCUGAUUGGGCAAACAAGCAUCGUAAGAAGGUGAUAUUUGAGCCCGGAGAUUUAGUGUGGGUACAUCUUCGCAAAAACCGCUUUCCUGAGAAGCGUAAAUCCAAGUUGAUGCCACGGGGAGAUGGUCCAUUCAGAGUGCUGUCCAGGAUCAAUGAUAAUGCCUACAAGAUUGAGCUUCCUGAAGAUUAUGGUGUUAGCACAACCUUCAAUGUUGCUGACUUGACACCAUUCUUCGGAUUAGAAGAAUCAGAGUCGAGGUCGACUCCUUUUCAAGAGGGGGAGGAUGAUGAGGAUAUCCCAACCAAGCAUGCUCCCUCUAAUUCCAUGCCAACCUCUACACCGACUACGCCGGCACCAGCCCAAGCCAUUGAUGGAGCAAUUACACGUAGCCGAGCCAAGAAGCUACAACAAGAGGUGAACGCGCUACUUUGUGAGAGUUCUAUUAAUGUUAAUGAGAAUAUUAUACUACCUAAGUGUUCUACUUUGGUUGUGCUUAGGUAUACACAUGAGGAGGGAGGUGACCUGGAUCACAAGGAUUGGAACAACACGGUGCAGAACGGACCAGUUGAAAGAAGAGCAGAUCGGACCAGUACGGUGCAGAACGGACCAGUUGAAAUAAAAGAUCAUAACUUUCACUUUCGAGAUGCUAUGAAGGUCCAUGAGCACUUGUUGGAAAGCUCUUCGAGUCUACUUUCCAAUGAAUCAAGUGGCGACCAGUUUGGAUACUCCAUAUUACCUGUAGACCAGAAUUAGUACAGACUGCUCAGAAGGUCAACAGUCUGUCUUGACAGAAUGUUGGUACAACUUGCCAAGUAAAACUGUACCAAUCUACAGCGUUUCGUAGUGCAUGGCAUACGUUGCUGGAAAGCUCUUGGAGUCUAGUUUCACACCCAAGAAACGGUUCAUCAUUUGGACUUCCCCAUAAAAGGUUAUGGUCAGUUUAUUGGAAAGUGCUCUAGAGGCCAACAGUCACGCGAAGCCACUUCGGGAAUCCAUUUCGAGGGGACCUUUCACAUUGCCUUCCCUCAGAAACUCUAUUUCGUUUUCAUACCUAUCUAGCAGGGCUGUUGCUAGUAUAAAUACCCCCUAAGACUCAUUGUAAUCAAAGACUUAUGAUAUUGAGAAUACAAACCACUUUGUUCAGCUGUGUGCUAACAACUUCAGAGAGAGAUCUCUACCCCUUUGCUCUUGUGUUUUCCUUCACGGAGAUUACAGAAGCGGCCGCGUCAUCGGCACCCAAUCCGUGCUCCUGAUCCUCGAGUUCAGGUUGCGUAGGUUGGUUCUUUGAGAGUGUGGUUGGGCGAAUCCUUGGUUCAGGCUGCCGUAUAGAGACGGUGGUUGGCUCCUUGUGCGUGUCGUCAGGUUGCACUAGUUAUCCUCGCUGCUUGCAGCAAGUUAUCGGCUGAUCUUCAGCUAGUUAUCCUACGUCGUGAAGAUCGGAACAACGACCUCACCAGAAAACAAGCCAAAUCUCAAACAUAAAUUACAUAUCAAGGCUUCAGUACUCCAAAAAUCAUGAAAUAUUUAUCAUAGCCUUCUAGUACCACACAGAGACUACCAUAAAAAUUUUAUAGCAAAAUAAUCAGUAUAACAAGAGAUAUGAAUAUUCUUAUGAAUAACAAGAUUAAAUCUUAAUAAAUAUUUUUCCCAGAAAACAUGGUUCAUUUUAUAUUUUUAUUAAAAACUAGCCAUCUCAAGGAAUACCACAAAAUUGAUUUCACAAUUUUUGGAUCUCAGAAACAGGAGAUAUGAUUUUUGUAAGAAAGCCAAAAAUCAGGAUUUGAAUAAAAGGAAGGAGUAGACCGUUGAGUCACUGACAGUCGGGACCCGCGCGUCAGUGACACCGAGAACAGAGGACACCUUCGCCGGCAAAUGCUCGCCGACGGUGAGCUUCUCCGGUGGAUCCAAGGGCACCAGCGUGCUCCUAGAGUGAUUCCGCAUCGAAGGAGGUAGGUGGCGCUAGGGUUUUGGCUACGGAGAGGGGUCGCCGUCGGCCAUGGCGGCAUGGCGGAGCUACCCCGGCUUACGCUGACCAUCUCCGACCGGUAGAGCGUCGGGGAAGGGCGGCUUAAGCAUCAGUGAGUCAGCGCGGAGCUUUCUAGGUAGAAACGUCUAACCCUAACGGCUCCGGUGAGCCUGCUCACGUGCGAGGUGCUCGUCGGCGGUGAGCACGGCGGUGCGGCGACCGUGUUCCCGCGCGACGGUGAGGUUUCAGACAGAAUGGCAUGGCGUGGACUGACGCCAAGACCUAAGCAGACCCUAACGCGACCCAGAGGGAAGAAAGGAAGCAAGAACAGAGCGGCGGCGAGGUUCGCCGGAAUCGGUGUCGCGACAGCCGCGAACCCGACGACGAAGAACUUGCGAAAUGCCGCUCACCUCGGGGAGAUCUCGUCCAACCGAUGGGUGGAGAAGAUGGAGGAGCUCAAGGCGGACUUGGAGGCGCUUGGAGGCGAAGCAAUACGCAGAGGCGAGGGCGCGAAGAGCUGGCAAAGCUCUCGGCGGCAAUGGCGACGGCGUUUCCGCCAGAGCGAGCGCGAGAGAGAGGAAGGAGGAGAAUGGACGGGUGCUGAGCGAGUGCGGGGCGCCGUCACGUCCAUGCCAACGCCGUCGACCUGACGAGCGGGGCCAACGCCGGCGUACGGGCGACAACUGGCGGACAGGUGUCUGGACGUUCCCGACGGCGAGCUCAACUCUGAAUCAGGCGACGCGAUCACUGUGUGACAGAGCGACUUCGUCGCUGAAUAACUUCCAAACCAGAGCGAGUUAGGAGAUGGUGUAGUUGACAAAGUUGGAGUACCAACUGAGUUCUACAACAAUGUCAACUAGAGCAAGAACCAGAUCGGCUUGGAUUGAGAGAUAUAGAGUUUUCAAAAUCGAUCGAGCAAACUGUUAAAGCCAGGACUUAGCCAAAAUCGACUAAGUGCCAAAACAGCACCCAAAUAUGCCUUGCAAGCACUUUUUGGACAAGUUGUGAUCAUUUUCAUGAGAUGGCCAUAAAAAAACUUUUGUUCCUUAUAAAAUUUGCUACAACUUUGCUGUAGAAAGUUUUGACAUGCAAACAUUUGAUGAAAUACUUUUUAAAAGCCUAAGCAAAAGAGCUUUCUAGGGCCUAUUUGUGUAAGCAUGACUUAAGUGAUUAUUUUGGAGAAGUGAUCAACAUGAACAUUGUUCCCAAGGUUGAGUUAAGCAUCGCUGAACUAUCUAACAAGGCAUAAAGCACAAACACAAGCAUGGUUCACUCAAACAUAAGCAUAGGGAACCUAUUUAAGCAAUUUAAAUCACAUUUUUGCAUAGAAAGGUAUGACUCAAGGUAGAUGAUGAUCAUGACAUGCUUGAGAAGAAGAUGAUGCUCAUACUAUGCAUAUGAUUUAUGCAACCAUAACACUGGGGUGUUACAGUCGGUGGCUCUGGCGGUGCCUCCUCUUCGUGUAUAACUAUCUUCUUUCUCCACACCUGACUCGGUGCUACGGUCUCCUCAGGAUAGUUCUGUUCAAGCUGUAUGUCUUCAGACCUUACCACUUCUCCUUCAUAGUCUACCCAUCCGUCCUUGAUGAUUUGCCUCCUCUGGUUGUGGUU